CCCUUUCCCACUGCACAAAAGCCCAAUUUCCCUCUUCCUUUCUCACAACCCACACGAUCCAAAACUCACCCAUCAGAAUGUCGCCGACCCAAAUGACGCCAAACGUUGCAGAACGCCUCCAACGCCUCCCGUGCUCACCCAUCCCGAACGCCGCCGAACACCGAGCGUCGAACGCUAACUUCCAUCCAAACGCCGAACGCCUAACGCGAACGUCGCUCCCCUUCUCUUUUGUUGUCCUUGUUGUUUGUUAGAUUGCUUGAUUUGAUUACUUUUGUUGGUUUCGUUUUGUUACGUAUCAGAAUCUUAGACAAAUUGAAAAUAGUCGGCUAAGGAAAAGGAGAAAUGGGAUUGACCUUCACCAAGCUCUUCACUAGGCUUUUUGCAAAGAAGGAGAUGCAGAUUUUGAUGGUUGGUCUUGAUGCUGCUGGAAAGACCACGAUCUUGUACAAGCUCAAGCUCAAGCUCGGAGAAAUUAUCACAACUAUUCCUACAAUGGCCUUGCAGCUCUUUGUUGCUGCUGUCUAAUGAGCAUAUAGAAAAAAGUCGAGUGUUUGUUAUAACGGUAAAAAUCAACUUCAAAUCAUGAGUAUAUUUGUAAUUCUAUUUAUAAUUUUCUUACUCUAUCAUAUUGUAUCAGUAAAAAGCAAGUAUUUGUGCAAGUAUUUGUCUAAUGCAACGAUCAUAUGGUUGAAACUGUACGGCUAAUAUGGGUGAAGAAGGCUAUGGAUGGUCCUCAUCCCUUGUGAUUACUAACACACACGACUAUGUUCGGUUUGACCCAUGUUCUGAGACUUGGUAUUCGAACAACAUGUUAUGUUUCUAUCUUUUAAUUUUUUUUUUUGCUAAUUGUAAUCUUAAGGGUUGCUUGUACUUUUAUCCUUUUAGUUUCAUAUGCUUCAAUUGGUUUUGGAACUUCAAGAUUAGCUGGCAGUCCCCGUCUCCUUUCUGAAUUUUGCAGUAUUGUUUAUGAGCACUGAGUUUUAUCAGCCUUAUCUAUCUUCAACUUCAUAAGGGGGUGAGGAAACAGGCUAGCGAGCAUAUUGUUUGUUAUUUACUCUUUAGAAUUCUCUUCCAUUUCAAAAAUAAACAAUCUCAUUAUCA
Cucumis melo (muskmelon) is the source of this 1101-nucleotide long non-coding RNA. RefSeq lists it as uncharacterized. NCBI's taxonomy places the organism in Eukaryota, Viridiplantae, Streptophyta, Magnoliopsida, Cucurbitales, Cucurbitaceae. The record is from RefSeq and is a predicted model, not a curated record. The transcript has 2 exons.